CCCCGUCCCGCCCCGCCCCGCCCCGGCCCGGGACCCGAGGCCGCGGGCGGGAGGACCCGCCUGAGAUCACCCCUUAGGCCAGGGCCCCUCUGGAUGGCUGUCCUCGCCAUGGAACCCGUCUCGACGGCCCUUUGCUGUUUCUGAGUAACACAGAUCAUUGUCUGUUUCCUAAGCAGCUCCAAGUCCCUAAAGCCCCGCAAAGAUCCAUUCUAACCACCCCAGGAGGCAAAAGGAGGGCAGGUAUGACUUCUGGGGCCUGAAACAGCACCCGAUACCUGCUGUGGCUCAUCGUGUAUUUGUUGAAUGAAUGAACGCUCCACCGAUGGACAAAGGACAGGCUGAGGCAACCUGCCACCGUCAUUAAAGGAAACAGCCACAAACCCAUCAGCAUUGUGUCCCGGCUGCCACGUUCUCCACUUCCACCCCCCUCGGAGCCCCCCGUGCCUGGCUUCCUACGCAGGUAGGGUGAGAGUGAGAAGCGGUGGAGAACAGUGUUAAAAGCCGUGUUAUUCUUCAUUCUCUACCAGGAAUACGGUUCGACCAGAAAAACUGUUUAUGAACUGAUUUCCUGAGAUAACUGCAGAACUGGUAGCUGAGUGAUGACCAAAUCUGGAAGCCCUGGUUUCUGGAUUCACAGAGCAGCCCCCAUCAGUAGCUGGGUCAGACCUCUGUUUGGGUUCUGGAUUGUGCCCAUGGGAGAAGUGACCUCGGGUAACAGGACAACCAAAACAGGAAACCCCUUCGAGAAAUCGGGGGUGCCUGUAGGGGGACAUCUCACUGCAGGAGGGUGCUGGCUGAGUGUCUCCGUGGCUCCAGGAGCAGCGAAUGGUGAGAGAAGAAGUUUAAGGGAGUUGACUCUGCCUCCUGGAGUUUGGGGGCUGACAUGAACCAAGAACAGGGUCACUUGACCAUAGCUCUGUUGACAUUCGGGCCAGUUAACCCUAUGUCAUUGGUCAGGGGAGUUUUCUAAAGGCCAAGAAGAAACUGGAAGAGAGCUGCGUUCUGUCUUGAAGAAGUUCCUCUCCAAGAAAGUGGCCGGUGGGGCAAGGCAACCCCGCAGUCAGAGGCUGCAGGAUGUUGCUCUGGAGGCAGGACCAAAGAGGGAAGCGAGAGACUGUAUCACAUAAGACCUCCUGGAGAAGCCCUCAGACACCCUCAUCCAGAUGAGAUCAAAGCAGGAAAAAGAUAAGGGAGGAGAGAAGACAGCUCUCCUCCUUCCACCCUCAAGAAAACACAAGGCUGUUUCCUGGUUCGACAUCAUCAGGUUGAAUUUGCUGAACAAAUUCAUUACACAAUCAAAAAAGAAUGUUUUUACGCAGACUUCUGCUUCAUUCAAGAUGGAGUAACAGGGACCAGAGUCAGCUUCUUGCCUGAAGCCACGAAAAUAUCAGAUCAAACAUAUGAAACACCAACACUCAAGACUCUGGAACAUCAGGCAACAAAGGAAAGUGAUCCCUGGGAGAGGAAACAGCAAGGUGAUCCCUGCACUGCUCAGCUCGCUGCCUGGAGAGUUUCCAGACUGUGGUUCAAGAAGGAGAAAACUAGCUGAAUGAAACAGACAGAGCUGGAUUCUGGGGAAAUGAAACCAGCUGCUGUGUUCCACCCCUGCCAUGUGCUGCCAAAAAGGCUUGCUGUUCCUGAGACCGCAGCAG
Molecule: long non-coding RNA, 1652 nt
Organism: Bubalus bubalis (water buffalo)
Lineage: Eukaryota; Metazoa; Chordata; Mammalia; Artiodactyla; Bovidae
Exons: 3
Source: RefSeq, a predicted model, not a curated record